CAGAGAGGCAGGAAGAGGCACCCAGCAGACCCCAAGUCGGCUUACUUUGGGAGAGUGGGCUCUAUUGGUACAAUGACCACUACAGUGCUCUUUUCAUUAAAGGGAAACUAUAGUGCCAGGAAAACAAACUCGUUUUCCUGGCACUAUAGAUUUCCCCUCUGUCAAGGCCCGCACCCGCGGUGCUGAAGGGGUUAAUAACCCCUUCAGUCACUUACCUGGGUCCAGCGCUGGCGGAG
Non-coding RNA from Pelobates cultripes (western spadefoot toad), 236 nucleotides. The record is from the annotation of a GenBank genome assembly. NCBI's taxonomy places the organism in Eukaryota, Metazoa, Chordata, Amphibia, Anura, Pelobatidae.